CCCUUUUUCCCUGUUAAUUUUAGGGCCCCGGAGGUGAAACGCGCCGUGUGCCGCCGCUGCUGCUCCCUGCUGCUGGGCUGCCAACGGCUGCGGGGGGGGGGCCAGCCCCGCACCGUGCUGCGCUGCCGGGAUUGCGGCCACUGCCGCCGCCUCCUCUGCCCGCCCAGGCCACGCCCCCGCCGCCAGGCCACGCCCCCAGGCCACGCCCCCGAGUCUGGACCUGCCUGAGUUCUACCUGGCAACAGCGUGAUGAGGCAGCUCCCCAUUGGCUGGAUAUGAGCUGCAGGAACCAAUCAGAAGCCGGCUGCGGAAAUAAAGCUCUUUAUUCGA
This is a long non-coding RNA of Oxyura jamaicensis (ruddy duck), 330 nucleotides long. RefSeq lists it as uncharacterized. Lineage: Eukaryota; Metazoa; Chordata; Aves; Anseriformes; Anatidae. The record is from RefSeq and is a predicted model, not a curated record. The transcript has 3 exons.